CACUCUUCCUGGCGGCGGCUACCAGGAAUAGCACGACCAACGGGCAGCCGGCUGUGGGGAACGGCGGCUGGCAAGGAGAAGCACACGCGCGGAAGCGGCGGCGGCCUCCAUCUCCAGCUCCUUUUCGUCGCUCACGGCAGCCGACCGAGAUCAGCCUCCUCCACCCCACCCUUCUUCGUUGCUUAAAUGGAGGAGCACGAGCUACCCUGCUGCCAUUGCUACUCUCGCAUCUUCCUCGUCAGUGCCGAAGAGGAACACGAGAAGCCAUCAGAGAAGUCAUCACUGCAAAAAUAGGGAUGGAUUAGGAUGUUAACCCGAGGUGAGCUGAGCCCUGCCCUUCUCCCCUAUUCGCCGUCCCCAUUUUCGAGCUAGCGCUGUUGUUUGGCUCCGCUCAUUAGUUCUAGAUGCAGGGGGGCUGCUGCAGCCAAAGCCUAAGAUGAGACGCCUGAUCUGAUGUUACCUCGGCUCCACCCGAUCUUGACGGAUUUGCAUCUUUCCCAGAUGCUUUUUAAUCUAUGCUAAGGUGCUUGAUGAAAUUCCAAGCAGGCUGACAUGGAAGAUUUAGCUAUGUGAUAUUUGUUCUUUGUUGUGUACCUAUUAAUUUUUUUUCUUCUGAAUUGAGCUCCAUUUAACUAUAAAUUUGUAGUCCAUCUGGCUUUGGUCAGAUCUGGGAAAGAAAAGAGAAAAAGUUCGGUGAAAAAGAAUGUGUUUUUUCCCCGGUGAACAGAAUCAAGUUCGUUCUUGCCUUUUGAUGUUAUAUGGUCUGUGGUAUAGUAAACAUGAGUAUUUACCAUAAAUGUUUCUGUAUAUGUAUGCUGCAAAGUGGAAACUAGACAUUCUAAUAUUCGUUUGGAUAUCUUUUGCAGGAAUUUGAGGCUGCUACAUCAUUCCAUUUGGUUGAGCUUCCUAAAAUCAAAGGGACAUGUUGGACUUUCAAGAUAUAAUAUCUCAGGUCAAGUGAAAAAAUAAACUUCUCGAUUUCCUGAUUUAACAUGAUCAUCGAGUUGUCCAGCAUAGAGGUGGCCAGCUUUAUGCUAGAAUGCUGAUGUAAGUUUGAUUCAUGAGAAAAAACUCCCAGAAGCGGCGUUCUUGGUGGCUUGGAGGCGCAGGGAUUAUAGGUUUCAAAAAUUAGAAGCGGUAAUGGAGCUUCUCCCUGUCCUAUGUGAAUGCAUGUACAGUUGUACACUAAUUGCAAGCUUUUUGUGAUAUAACGUGUCAUAAUUAUCCUUCAACACAUGGGAUUGAAAUUGCAAUUGUUCAUUUAGU
Lolium perenne is the source of this 1266-nucleotide long non-coding RNA. RefSeq lists it as uncharacterized. NCBI's taxonomy places the organism in Eukaryota, Viridiplantae, Streptophyta, Magnoliopsida, Poales, Poaceae. The record is from RefSeq and is a predicted model, not a curated record.